Molecule: non-coding RNA, 202 nt
Organism: Oryza glumipatula
Lineage: Eukaryota; Viridiplantae; Streptophyta; Magnoliopsida; Poales; Poaceae
Source: Rfam
CUUAAUUGUUCGGUUUCCGUAUCCAACGUUUAACCGUCCAUUUUAUAUGAAAUUUUUUUAUGAUUAGUAUUUUCACUAUUGUUAGAUGAUAAAACAUAAAUAAUACUUUAUAUAUGACUUAUCUUUUUAAAUUUUUUCAUAUUAUUUUCAAAUAAGACGAACGGUCAAAUGUUAGGCACGGAAACCCAGGAAUUGAGUUUUU